Molecule: ribosomal RNA, 253 nt
Filed under: uncultured bacterium
Lineage: Bacteria
Description: partial 16S ribosomal RNA
Rfam family: Bacterial small subunit ribosomal RNA
Source: RNAcentral
GACAGAGGGUGCAAACGUUGUUCGGAAUUACUGGGCGUAAAGCGUGUGUAGGCGGCUACGCAAGUCGGAUGUGAAAGCCCCGGGCUCAACCCGGGAAGUGCACCCGAAACUGCGUGGCUUGAGUACCGGAGAGGUUGGUGGAAUUCUCGGUGUAGAGGUGAAAUUCGUAGAUAUCGAGAGGAACACCGGUGGCGAAGGCGGCCAACUGGACGAGUACUGACGCUGAGACGCGAAAGCGUGGGGAGCGAACAGG